AGAGUUUGAUCCUGGCUCAGAAUCAACGCUGGCGGCGCGCUUAACACAUGCAAGUCGAACGGGAAAGUGGAGCAAUCCAUGAGUACAGUGGCGUACGGGUGAGUAACACGUGGGUAAUCUACCUCUUAGUGGGGAAUAACCCUGGGAAACCGGGGCUAAUACCGCAUAAGCCUGAGAAGGGAAAGCAGCAAUGCGCUGAGAGAGGAGCCCGCGGCCGAUUAGCUAGUUGGUAGGGUAAAGGCCUACCAAGGCAGAGAUCGGUAGCCGGCCUGAGAGGGCACACGGCCACACUGGCACUGAAACACGGGCCAGACUCCUACGGGAGGCAGCAGUGGGGAAUCUUGCACAAUGGGGGCAACCCUGAUGCAGCGACGCCGCGUGAGCGAUGAAGCCCUUCGGGGUGUAAAGCUCUUUCGUCAGGGAAGAUGAUGACGGUACCUGGAGAAGCAGCUGCGGCUAACUACGUGCCAGCAGCCGCGGUAAUACGUAGGCAGCGAGCGUUGUUCGGAGUUACUGGGCGUAAAGGGUGUGUAGGCGGUUCUUUAAGUUUGGUGUGAAAUCUCCCGGCUCAACCGGGAGGGUGCGCCGAAUACUGAGGGACUAGAGUGCGGGAGAGGAAAGUGGAAUUCCUGGUGUAGCGGUGAAAUGCGUAGAUAUCAGGAGGAACACCGGUGGUGUAGACGGCUUUCUGGACCGUAACUGACGCUGAGACACGAAAGCGUGGGUAGCAAACAGGAUUAGAUACCCUAGUAGUCC
RNAcentral lists this ribosomal RNA (756 nucleotides) under uncultured bacterium. RNAcentral's name for it is "bacterial SSU rRNA". It matches the Rfam family "Bacterial small subunit ribosomal RNA", at positions 8 to 796 of the family's 1533-position model. The record is from RNAcentral.